ACAGAGGUGGCAAGCGUUGUUCGGAAUUAUUGGGCGUAAAACGUGCGCAGGCGGAUUGUUAAGCAAGACGUGAAAUCCCCGGGCUUAACCUGGGAAUGGCGUCUUGAACUGGCAGUCUAGAGUGCGUCAGAGGGGGGUGGAAUUCCACGUGUAGCAGUGAAAUGCGUAGAGAUGUGGAGGAACACCGAUGGCGAAGGCAGCCCCCUGGGAUGACACUGACGCUCAUGUACGAAAGCGUGGGUAGCAAACAG
Molecule: ribosomal RNA, 251 nt
Filed under: uncultured prokaryote
Description: partial 16S ribosomal RNA
Rfam family: Bacterial small subunit ribosomal RNA
Source: RNAcentral